Long non-coding RNA from Cynoglossus semilaevis (tongue sole), 866 nucleotides. RefSeq lists it as uncharacterized. The record is from RefSeq and is a predicted model, not a curated record. Lineage: Eukaryota; Metazoa; Chordata; Actinopteri; Pleuronectiformes; Cynoglossidae. The transcript has 5 exons.
GUAGAUAACAGCUUGUCUGUCCACUUCCCUGUGACUAAGCGUGGACAGCAGCUGGGGAGAAACCGUGUCCUGCCAGUUCUGACCCUCGCACGCCUCCUCUUCCACCACUGCAGCAUCCGGCAACAGAGCCAGGGUGGUCUGAGGCCCGACCCCUCCCUGUCCUCCCCGCAGUCCUCCAUGUCCACGUCACUGCGUGAACGGGGAACAGACUCAUUUACGGCGGCACCCGUGCCACGUCGACGACCUUCCCCCUGAGCCUUCAGUGACUCGCUGCGCCCCAGACGCACCAACACGGCUACUGCUGGUGGACAACCUCUGUGUGUCUGUAGCUUCUCCUCCCUCCUCUCCUGUCGACUCUGUGUUACUCUCAAACUGCUGAAUGAUGUUCCUCACAUUGCCGUGACGGACUGAGACAGAAGACAGACAGGAAAACCUUGGAGUCUCUUAGCUUGAUGCCAGAGUGACGGAGGUACAGGAGGACGGCCCAAGCCAGAGGAGAACUUAAAUGAACAAAGAAGGACGGAGACGGAUACAGAACGGUCAUGAAUGAUAUGACGAUUAAAGGGGAGGAGCAGGAGAAAAGAAGUGGAAACAAGGAGGGAAAGUGCUGUAAAAACUUGAAUGUUUACCUUCUCUCUUCUUCAUGCUUUGACCUGAACAGAAAGAAGACACAAAUGUGAAAACAACAGCCUUAAAUACACUACAUCUCAGAAGUCUGCCUGAGAUAGAAAAAGGUCUCCAUCCAGAGUCUGCAGGUCUCCUUCUCCAAACAACGAGCCCAGACCCAUCAUCUGUUUGCUCCUGUAAAACACAGCAAAGGGGUUUUGAUUAACUUAACUAAACACAGAAACAUUUACAUCAGACUC